UAAGGAAUAUUGGUCAAUGGACGAAAGUCUGAACCAGCCAUCCCGCGUGCAGGAUGAAAGCCCUAUGGGUUGUAAACUGCUUUUAGCAGAGAAGAAAAGCUUUCAUUAAUGAGAGUCUGACGGUAUCUGCAGAAUAAGCACCGGCUAACUCCGUGCCAGCAGCCGCGGUAAUACGGAGGGUGCGAGCGUUAUCCGGAAUUACUGGGUUUAAAGGGUGCGUAGGCGGAGUAUUAAGUCAGUGGUGAAAUCU
RNAcentral lists this ribosomal RNA (250 nucleotides) under uncultured bacterium. RNAcentral describes it as "partial 16S ribosomal RNA". It matches the Rfam family "Bacterial small subunit ribosomal RNA", at positions 355 to 602 of the family's 1533-position model. The record is from RNAcentral.